This 465-nucleotide ribosomal RNA is filed under the name Vreelandella stevensii. RNAcentral describes it as "partial 16S ribosomal RNA". It matches the Rfam family "Bacterial small subunit ribosomal RNA", at positions 338 to 795 of the family's 1533-position model. Lineage: Bacteria; Pseudomonadati; Pseudomonadota; Gammaproteobacteria; Oceanospirillales; Halomonadaceae. The record is from RNAcentral.
CCUACGGGUGGCUGCAGUGGGGAAUAUUGGACAAUGGGCGAAAGCCUGAUCCAGCCAUGCCGCGUGUGUGAAGAAGGCCUUCGGGUUGUAAAGCACUUUCAGUGGGGAAGAAAGCCUUGGGGCUAAUACCCUCGAGGAAGGACAUCACCCACAGAAGAAGCACCGGCUAACUCCGUGCCAGCAGCCGCGGUAAUACGGAGGGUGCGAGCGUUAAUCGGAAUUACUGGGCGUAAAGCGCGCGUAGGCGGUCUGAUAAGCCGGUUGUGAAAGCCCCGGGCUCAACCUGGGAACGGCAUCCGGAACUGUCAGGCUAGAGGGCAGGAGAGGAAGGUAGAAUUCCCGGUGUAGCGGUGAAAUGCGUAGAGAUCGGGAGGAAUACCAGUGGCGAAGGCGGCCUUCUGGACUGACACUGACGCUGAGGUGCGAAAGCGUGGGUAGCAAACAGGAUUAGAUACCCGAGUAGUC